CUACGGGGCGCUCCAGUAGGGAAUUUUCGGCAAUGGAGGAAACUCUGACCGAGCAACGCCGCGUGAAUGAAGACAUAUUUCGGUAUGUAAAGUUCUUUUAUUAGGGAAGAAUAGCCCAUGGAAAAAUGGGUGUGACGGUACCUAAUGAAUAAGCCCCGGCUAACUAUGUGCCAGCAGCCGCGGUAAUACAUAGGGGGCAAGCGUUAUCCGGAAUUAUUGGGCGUAAAGGGUGCGUAGGCGGCCAUUUAAGUCUUUGGUAUAAGUGCAGUGCUUAACGCUGUGAUGCUAAGGAAACUGAAUGGCUUGAGUGAGAUAGAGGCAAGUGGAAUUCCAUGUGUAGCGGUAAAAUGCGUAAAUAUAUGGAGGAACACCAGUGGCGAAGGCGGCUUGCUGGGUCUACACUGACGCUGAGGCACGAAAGCGUGGGGAGCAAACAGGAUUAGAUACCCCUGUAGUC
This 457-nucleotide ribosomal RNA is filed under the name uncultured bacterium. Its description in RNAcentral is "partial 16S ribosomal RNA". It matches the Rfam family "Bacterial small subunit ribosomal RNA", at positions 339 to 795 of the family's 1533-position model. The record is from RNAcentral.